GCUAAUAAUACAAAAAUCAUCGUAAACAUUGGUAGUCUGGUUCCCUGACUAAAACAUUGGAUGGAUAUCAUUGAACUGAAAAUGAAAUAUGAAUAUAUGUACAUACAUGUAAAUUACAAUAAAUUAAAAACUGUCUUGAUACAAAACAUCCUCAAAACAUUACAUCGAAACGUUUCUUUUUAGUUUACGAAGCAGUAUAGCAUUAAUCGCAUGUUUGUACAAUUAAAAGAAUCUAUUGUUUACAUGCCGUAGGGGCCACACUAAACACUACAAAAACAGACUAGAUUGCUCUUAACCGGUACGCAGUUGUUUAGCACGAUCGACAAAGCGGGGGUUUGGGGCGGUAGCCCGCGAUACUCAGGAAAUAUAUAGUGAUCGUCAACGAAACACUGGCUACAUUUCCUGUGGAGUCUGCCUGGAGGAUUUCUCAACAAACAUCAACUAUCUGUCUGAAGCCAUCGACGUAUACAGUGAUUGGAUAGACGCAUGUGAAUCGGCGAAUAACUAGCAAGAAUUCUAAG
Molecule: long non-coding RNA, 521 nt
Organism: Dreissena polymorpha
Lineage: Eukaryota; Metazoa; Mollusca; Bivalvia; Myida; Dreissenidae
Exons: 3
Source: RefSeq, a predicted model, not a curated record